AACGAACGCUGGCGGCAUGCCUAACACAUGCAAGUCGAACGAAGGCUUCGGCCUUAGUGGCGCACGGGUGAGUAACGCGUGGGAAACUGCCUAUUGGUGGGGAAUAACGACGGGAAACUGUCGCUAAUACCGCAUAAGCCCUUCGGGGGAAAGAUUUAUCGGCGAUAGAUGUGCCCGCGUCCGAUUAGCUAGUUGGUGAGGUAAUGGCUCACCAAGGCGACGAUCGGUAGCUGGUCUGAGAGGAUGAUCAGCCACACUGGGAGUGAGACACGGGCCAGAUUCCUACGGGAGGCAGCAGUGGGGAAUAUUGGACAAUGGGCGAAAGCCUGAUCCAGCAAUGCUGGGUGAGUGAUGAAGGCCUUAGGGUUGUAAAGCUCUUUCGGGUGGGACGAUGAUGACGGUACCACCAGAAGAAGCCCCGGCUAACUUCGUGCCAGCCGCCGCAGUAA
This 449-nucleotide ribosomal RNA is filed under the name uncultured bacterium. Its description in RNAcentral is "partial 16S ribosomal RNA". It matches the Rfam family "Bacterial small subunit ribosomal RNA", at positions 29 to 523 of the family's 1533-position model. The record is from RNAcentral.